UACGUAGGGGGCUAGCGUUGUCCGGAUUUAUUGGGCGUAAAGAGCGUGUAGGCGGCCAGGUAGGUCUGGUGUGAAAACUCGAGGCUUAACCUCGAGAUGUCAUCGGAAACCAUCUGGCUAGAGUCCGGAAGAGGUGAGUGGAAUUCCUGGUGUAGCGGUGAAAUGCGCAGAUAUCAGGAAGAACACCAAUGGCGAAAGCAGCUCUCUGGGACGGUACUGACGCUGAGACGCGAAAGCGUGGGGAGCGAACAGG
This 253-nucleotide ribosomal RNA is filed under the name uncultured bacterium. RNAcentral's name for it is "partial 16S ribosomal RNA". It matches the Rfam family "Bacterial small subunit ribosomal RNA", at positions 524 to 776 of the family's 1533-position model. The record is from RNAcentral.